GGCAUUCUGAAGGAAUGUCAUCCAACUUGGUUGGAGGCUAACGCAGGGAACUGAAACAUCUUAGUACCUGCAGGAAAAGAAAAUAAAUAAUGAUUCCCCUAGUAGUGGCGAGCGAACGGGGAUUAGCCCAAACCACCCAUGUUACGGCAUGUGUGGGGUUGUAGGACCACGCUCUCGCAAGACAGUUAUUGAGAAGAAACGACUGGAAAGUCGUGCCAUAGACGGUGAUAGCCCGGUAUUCUAAGGUAACCGAAGCGUAGUGGUAUCCUGAGUAGCGCGGAGCACGAGGAAUUCUGCGUGAACCAGCCGGGACCAUCCGGUAAGGCUAAAUACUCCCGAGAGACCGAUAGCGAACC
This 356-nucleotide ribosomal RNA is filed under the name Bacteroides fragilis. Its description in RNAcentral is "bacterial LSU rRNA". It matches the Rfam family "Bacterial large subunit ribosomal RNA", at positions 130 to 496 of the family's 2925-position model. Lineage: Bacteria; Pseudomonadati; Bacteroidota; Bacteroidia; Bacteroidales; Bacteroidaceae. The record is from RNAcentral.